CGGUUUUCUUAAGUCUGAUGUGAAAGCCCACGGCUCAACCGUGGAGGGUCAUUGGAAACUGGGGAACUUGAGUGCAGAAGAGAAAAGCGGAAUUCCACGUGUAGCGGUGAAAUGCGUAGAGAUGUGGAGGAACACCAGUGGCGAAGGCGGCUUUUUGGUCUGUAACUGACGCUGAGGCGCGAAAGCGUGGGGAGCAAACAGGAUUAGAUACCCUGGUAGUCCACGCCGUAAACGAUGAGUGCUAAGUGUUAGAGGGUUUCCGCCCUUUAGUGCUGCAGCUAACGCAUUAAGCACUCCGCCUGGGGAGUACGGUCGCAAGACUGAAACUCAAAGGAAUUGACGGGGGCCCGCACAAGCGGUGGAGCAUGUGGUUUCAUUCGAAGCAACGCGAAGAACCUUACCAGGUCUUGACAUCCUCUGACAACUCUCGAGAUAGAGCGUUCCCCUUCGGGGGACAGAGUGACAGGUGGUGCAUGGUUGUCGUCAGCUCGUGUCGUGAGAUGUUGGGUUAAGUCCCGCAACGAGCGCAACCCUUGAUCUUAGUUGCCAGCAUUUAGUUGGGCACUCUAAGGUGACUGCCGGUGACAAACCGGAGGAAGGUGGGGAUGACGUCAAAUCAUCAUGCCCCUUAUGACCUGGGCUACACACGUGCUCCAAUGGAUGGUACAAAGGGCUGCAAGACCGCGAGGUCAAGCCAAUCCCAUAAAACCAUUCUCAGUUCGGAUUGUAGGCUGCAACUCGCCUACAUGAAGCUGGAAUCGCUAGUAAUCGCGGAUC
This 777-nucleotide ribosomal RNA is filed under the name Priestia megaterium. RNAcentral's name for it is "bacterial SSU rRNA". It matches the Rfam family "Bacterial small subunit ribosomal RNA", at positions 576 to 1350 of the family's 1533-position model. The record is from RNAcentral. Lineage: Bacteria; Bacillati; Bacillota; Bacilli; Caryophanales; Bacillaceae.